Molecule: ribosomal RNA, 468 nt
Filed under: uncultured bacterium
Lineage: Bacteria
Description: partial 16S ribosomal RNA
Rfam family: Bacterial small subunit ribosomal RNA
Source: RNAcentral
GACGAACGCUGGCGGCGUGCUUAACACAUGCAAGUCGAACGGAAAGGCCCUGCUUUUGUGGGGUGUUCGAGUGGCGAACGGGUGAGUAACACGUGAGUAACCUGCCUUUGACUUUGGGAUAACUUCAGGAAACUGGGGCUAAUACCGGAUAGGAGCUCCUGCUGCAUGGUGGGGGUUGGAAAGUUUCGGCGGUUGGGGAUGGACUCGCGGCUUAUCAGCUUGUUGGUGGGGUAGUGGCUUACCAAGGCUUUGACGGGUAGCCGGCCUGGGAGGGUGACCGGCCACAUUGGGACUGAGAUACGGCCCAGACUCCUACGGGAGGCAGCAGUGGGGAAUAUUGCACAAUGGGCGGAAGCCUGAUGCAGCAACGCCGCGUGCGGGAUGACGGCCUUCGGGUUGUAAACCGCUUUCGCCUGUGACGAAGCGUGAGUGACGGUAAUGGGUAAAGAAGCACCGGCUAACUACGUG